This 497-nucleotide ribosomal RNA is filed under the name uncultured bacterium. Its description in RNAcentral is "partial 16S ribosomal RNA". It matches the Rfam family "Bacterial small subunit ribosomal RNA", at positions 28 to 507 of the family's 1533-position model. The record is from RNAcentral.
GAUGAACGCUGGCGGCGUGCCUAAUACAUGCAAGUCGAGCGAACGGACGAGAAGCUUGCUUCUCUGAUGUUAGCGGCGGACGGGUGAGUAACACGUGGAUAACCUACCUAUAAGACUGGGAUAACUUCGGGAAACCGGAGCUAAUACCGGAUGAUAUUUUGAACCGCAUGGUUCAAAAGUGAAAGACGGUCUUGCUGUCACUUAUAGGUGGAUCCGCGCUGCAUUAGCUAGUUGGUAAGGUAACGGCUUACCAAGGCAACGAUGCAUAGCCGACCUGAGAGGGUGAUCGGCCACACUGGAACUGAGACACGGCCCAGACUCCUACGGGAGGCAGCAGUAGGGAAUCUUCCGCAAUGGGCGAAAGCCUGACGGAGCAACGCCGCGUGAGUGAUGAAGGUCUUCGGAUCGUAAAACUCUGUUAUUAGGGAAGAACAUAUGUGUAAGUAACUGUGCACAUCUUGACGGUACCUAAUCAGAAAGCCACGGCUAACUACGUG